GACGAACGCUGGCGGCGUGCUUAACACAUGCAAGUCGAACGGAAAGGCCCUGCUUUUGUUGGUUUCUCUAGUUGCGAACGGGUGUGUAACACGUGUGUAACCUGCCCUUUACUUUGUGAUAACUUCUGGAAACUGGGGCUAAUACCGGAUAGGAUCUCCUGCUGCAUUGUGUUGGUUGGAAAUUUUCGGCGGUUGGGGAUGGACUCGCGGCUUAUCAGCUUGUUGGUGGGGUAGUGGCUUACCAAGGCUUUGACGGGUAGCCGGCCUGAGAGGGUGACCGGCCACAUUGGGACUGAGAGACGGACCAGACUCCUACGGGAGGCAGCAGUGGGGAAUAGUGCACAAUGGGCGGAAGCCUGAUGAAGAAACGCCGCGAGCGGGAUGAAGGCCUUCGGGUUGUAAAAAGAUGUAGACUGUGACGAAGAGUGAGUGACGGUAAUGGGUAAAGAAGCACCGGCUAACUACGUG
RNAcentral lists this ribosomal RNA (468 nucleotides) under uncultured bacterium. RNAcentral's name for it is "partial 16S ribosomal RNA". It matches the Rfam family "Bacterial small subunit ribosomal RNA", at positions 28 to 507 of the family's 1533-position model. The record is from RNAcentral.